RNAcentral lists this long non-coding RNA (28177 nucleotides) under Nicotiana tabacum (common tobacco). RNAcentral describes it as "long non-coding RNA (NTAB_LNC004242)". Lineage: Eukaryota; Viridiplantae; Streptophyta; Magnoliopsida; Solanales; Solanaceae. The record is from RNAcentral.
CGGAUGCCUCCUUCGAGAUAGGAGCGGCUUCCUGGGGGGCCACAACCUCCGUCUCUCCCUCUAGUUCCUGAGUAAGAGGGGGAUCGACCUCAUGGUCCUCUAUCUCGGUCGUUUCCUGCUCCCCCUCGUUAAGGAUCGACCCAUGUGCAAUAAAAAGGUCAUAAUCCUCGGGCUCAUCCUUGAGCCGGUAGAGAUAAUCGGGCUCUAGUACCUUAGACUUGGUGAUCACUUUCUUCUUCUUCGCCUCGGCGUCCGGAGAACCUGGACUUUAUUUUCUUCUUCUUCUUCUUCUUCUUCUUCUUCUUCUUCUUCUUCUUCUUCUUCUUCUUCUUCUUCNNNNNNNNNNNNNNNNNNNNNNNNNNNNNNNNNNNNNNNNNNNNNNNNNNNNNNNNNNNNNNNNNNNNNNNNNNNNNNNNNNNNNNNNNNNNNNNNNNNNNNNNNNNNNNNNNNNNNNNNNNNNNNNNNNNNNNNNNNNNNNNNNNNNNNNNNNNNNNNNNNNNNNNNNNNNNNNNNNNNNNNNNNNNNNNNNNNNNNNNNNNNNNNNNNNNNNNNNNNNNNNNNNNNNNNNNNNNNNNNNNNNNNNNNNNNNNNNNNNNNNNNNNNNNNNNNNNNNNNNNNNNNNNNNNNNNNNNNNNNNNNNNNNNNNNNNNNNNNNNNNNNNNNNNNNNNNNNNNNNNNNNNNNNNNNNNNNNNNNNNNNNNNNNNNNNNNNNNNNNNNNNNNNNNNNNNNNNNNNNNNNNNNNNNNNNNNNNNNNNNNNNNNNNNNNNNNNNNNNNNNNNNNNNNNNNNNNNNNNNNNNNNNNNNNNNNNNNNNNNNNNNNNNNNNNNNNNNNNNNNNNNNNNNNNNNNNNNNNNNNNNNNNNNNNNNNNNNNNNNNNNNNNNNNNNNNNNNNNNNNNNNNNNNNNNNNNNNNNNNNNNNNNNNNNNNNNNNNNNNNNNNNNNNNNNNNNNNNNNNNNNNNNNNNNNNNNNNNNNNNNNNNNNNNNNNNNNNNNNNNNNNNNNNNNNNNNNNNNNNNNNNNNNNNNNNNNNNNNNNNNNNNNNNNNNNNNNNNNNNNNNNNNNNNNNNNNNNNNNNNNNNNNNNNNNNNNNNNNNNNNNNNNNNNNNNNNNNNNNNNNNNNNNNNNNNNNNNNNNNNNNNNNNNNNNNNNNNNNNNNNNNNNNNNNNNNNNNNNNNNNNNNNNNNNNNNNNNNNNNNNNNNNNNNNNNNNNNNNNNNNNNNNNNNNNNNNNNNNNNNNNNNNNNNNNNNNNNNNNNNNNNNNNNNNNNNNNNNNNNNNCUUCUUCUUCUUCUUCUCAUCCUCCUCCUCCUCCUCCUCCUCCUCCUUCUCCUCCUUCGCGGCAGCCCCGAUCUACCCCGAAAUAGAGGGUCCGGCAAGCAAGGACGGAUCCUCAUCCUCGUCCAAUGGCCUUAGUAGACAAACCUAUAAGAAAAGAGAAAAGGUUAGCACUGUGUAAGUUAAGAGCAAGAUGGUAAUUAUUUAGGAAAAAACCUCACCAUGAGAACGGUCCUCCCAUUUGCCCUUCAAAAGCGCUCGGAGUAUGGAAUCUGCUUGCAGAUCCCCUCGAUCCAAUCCUUGAAUCGGGGAAUUGCAUUAGGAUCUUGGGAGACAGUUGCACAACAACAAACACAAGCAAUGAGAGAAGGAAUAAAAUGAUGUGAAUACUCAUGGAAGAUAAUAAUUACGAGAUGCAUUUCAUCUCUCGGGGAAGGGCAAAAACUCGGGAGGGAUCAGGUCUUCAGUUUUCACCGGAACGAAUCUACCAUGCUAGACUCGAUCUCAGUCCUCGUUGAUGCUUGCGAAAGGAGCCUUCCUUGCUCGGAGAACGAGCUUGAUCAGCCCCCCUUGAAUAAUUUGGGACUGUAUAUGCGGAGUAAAUGGUCAAGGGUAAACCCUAGGGCUUCGGUAUUGUUCACGAAAUAGCGUAAGAGGAUCACGAUCCCUUAAAAAGAUGGGUGUAUUUGCCCAAGGCAUACCUCGUACCUUUUGCAGAAAGCAAGAACUAUGGGUUCUUCCAGGGUGAGCGUGAAGGGGUAAAUGUAAACACUUAAAUACCCUUCACAUGAGUAGUGAUGUCGUUAUUGGGCCUAGGGGUGACCACAUCCUUACCCUCCCAAUUACAAUGUGCUCGGACUAUAGAUAAGGUUUCUUUAGUGACAGAGCAUAUAUAUCUCCAUGCUCCCUCGCCUCGGUCCUGUUGACUAGAGGCCUUCUCGGCGUGGAAGUCAUUCCUGAUAGCAGCCCCCAGGAAUGAAGCUCUUCAUAGGGGGCUCCUAAGCCACUUCGGGAACGACCACCUUGGCAUCUGUGGUUGGGUGGGAAUAUAAAGGAACGGCUUGCUGAGGCACUGACUUGGAGGUUUUUGCCAUUGUAAUAUCGGAAAUAUGAAGGUUUGAAGAAGGAUAUGAAGGUUUGAAGAAAAAUAUGAAGAUUUGAAGAUGGUAUGAAGGUUUGGGUUGAAGGUUCAAAGAAUUUAUAUGAGGAUUGAGGAUGAAGAUAUGAAAGUUCAAAGGGAAAUGUAUGAAGAUUUGGGGAAGUUAAAUAUCGUUUGUGAGUUUGAGGGUAAAAUCUAGAAUCGGAAAGUGAAAGAACUGAAAAAGGUCGAAGCUUUUAUAGGGGAAAAAUAAUCAAUGCGCAACGUUUCGCAUUCGAAGGCAGCCAUUCCGUGACUAACACGUGUCCGAAGUCAAAUGAUACGACUGAUGGGACGUUUUGAUUUACUUUUCACCUCAAUUUUAACGUACGAAGGAAGGAACCUGGGUUCAUCUGUCAUUUCCCAUCAUUUCGGCAAACCUAUUAUCUGAAAAACGAAGGGACUAUCUGUAUACGGGUAAAAUUAGAGAUAAUACAUACCACGAUUUCCCGGUGAAGAAAAUGGAAGAAGGGCACGGAUGCACGAGAUUGAAAUCGAGGUUGAGAGCCCUUCAUAUCGAGAUCCAUGAAAGGUGAACGAUGUGCUCAUCAUCGAACCUGAUGAAGCGACACGUUCCAGACCCAGGAUGACUUUUAGACCUCGGAAAAUACGAUAAAAAGUUACACUCGACGGAUAGAGGGCAGUGAUAUUCGCACCCAACCAAAUAUCACGGCGCAGAUCUCGCUUGAUAUAUGUUACGGAUCAGUAAUUAACGAGAAAGGGAGAUUUUUACCCUUUUUAGACUUAUAUUAGGGAUGCAACUCUCCUACUAUAUAAAGAGAAGGUUUUUCUUUUGUAAGAAACAUUGUAACAGGCGAAUCAAAGCAAUACAAAUUCAUUUUCUGCCUUUUAAUUACUGUUAAAGUUGUUGUUCACUUAACCUGCUUUUCAUUCAUGACUGAGCUCGAAUCGAGGAUCUGAUCGAGGACGAGGUCAUUGUUUCAUCUAAGUUCAGGCUUGGCCAUAAUGUCACAAUUGGUUUGAUCGUUUAAUUCGUCUUUAAUUUAUUUAUCUAAUAUACUUAAUUAUUUGUAUUGAAUCAAACCACAUAUCCUUAAAACCGCUUACAAAUUUAAUUGUUAUCCGAUUUAAGGGUAAACAGAGGUCAAGGUAAUUUUUUGUUAUUUAUUAGAGAGACGAUAUCUUUUUAGGUCAAGGUAAGUUUUUGUUAUUUUGUAGAGAGACGAUAUACAAUAUUAGUAUUAAACUGAAUUAGUAUCAGUGCAUGCAUAUAUAUGCUUCGUAGAGCGUCUAAACUGCUAAGUUGAACCACAAUAUUACAAGAGUUGGAAGAAAAUGUCAGUUGGUGGAUCGUACCCAAUGAUGUCAUAAUUUUUUAUUUAAAAACAAUUCAACUUUAAAGUUUUUACUUUAUUUUUAGAUGAUUUAUAGGCACAUAAAUAUCUCUAACUUAUUUUAGACCACAAGUUAUUUUUCUAUCUUACUUAAAUUUGUGUCGAGUCAAAUAUUGUCACAUAAAUUGGUAAAUUGGGUUGGAGAGCGUAGUACUUUAGUAUAACAUCUUCUUUUAAGUUCCUCCUUUGCAAGUAAAUCAGAGCGAAGUUUUUUGAACUAAUUUCGAGUUGAUUAGAUCUCUUCAUCCUCAAUUUUGUCAAGCAUCUCCAUUUUCUCACUGAUUAGUGUUAAGUGUAUUCAUAAAAGACAUAAAUCUAUCAUUCCUUAGUGUAAAUAUAUCAUGCUGACAAAAAAAAUCACUUCUCUCGAUUCCUUUUUUUUUUUUGUUGUAGAUCACUCAAUGUAAUACUAGCAUUUAAAAAAAAAAAGGAUAUGGUUUGGGAUUCAAUCGAACGACUAGAAUCAAGACUCGCCGACACGUUCUAUUAAAUGGACCCAACCCAAUGAUGACGAAAGGUCCAAUCAAGUAAUAAAUCAAAGGACCAUUUGACUCAGCUGAUUUAAUUUCUCUCUGAAGAUAAUAAAGAAGUGUAUUACAUGAGGGAUUCUUGUGAUUCACAUUUCACAUCAGAAGCCCACUCCCACUAAUUGUCGACACUCAACGCUCCCUGUGUAAAUAUCAAUCAACUUGUGUUGUUGCGGAUUUCACAAUGGAUAUUCUUCCAUUUGUUUAUCAUAAAUAUUGUGGUUAAUUGAAUCAUAAUGAUAAUAAUAUUCACAACAAAUAUAUUUUCUCCUUUUCUUUUGGAAUAAUAAGAUGCAGUUUUUGACCACUAUGGUGUGUUUGGUAGGAAGGAAAAUAUUUAUGAUCUCAUUUUUCUCCAAUUAAAAGAAAAUAUUUUUCAAAAUUCUUUCUCAAUCUUUUUCAUCCUAUUUCUCAUCCUCAUCAACCCACCCCCACACCCACCCACCCAACCGCCCUACUCACCCCACCCUAAAUAAAAAUAUUUUUAAUACUAUUUUCUUUUCAUUUUAUAGAUAGAUUUUUUUUUUGUAUUUCAAUAAAUGAGUAUUUUUUACAUGAUAUAAAAAAGUAUUUUUUUCAUUUCAACAAAAAAAAUACUUUCUUUUCAUAGAAAAAAUAUUUUCUUUCGUUUCAACAAUAAAAAAAUAUUUUCUUUUUAUGAUUUAAAUCUUUUUNNNNNNNNNNUACCAAACACACCCUAUAUCUUCCGUAUUACAUACACUAAAAUAGUACACGUAACAUUCCAUUCGUCUUGGUAACUUAUCUUUUACCUAGUAUUUGGUUUGCUUUUUUGUAUAUAGUCUUACUUUGUCUUGUUCAUGUCGGACUAUUUCAUCAAUUUCAUUUUAAGUGUUAAUAUUGAGAAAAAAUCCAAUAUAAUAUAUUAUUAUAUUAUAUUAUAUUUGAACUGCUUUCCUACUCAAAUAAUUUAUUUUAUUGUUAAUUUUAAUAUAGAAAAAUAUACCUAAUUAUUAAAGAACAACUAAGAAAAAUUUUAAGAAUAUAAAUGUGUGAGAAAAAAUAGGAAAAAAUGUUAGUAAAAGCCAAUAUCACUAAUGAUUUUGCAAACAUAAAGAUCUAAAGGUGGAAUGUCAUCGAUGUUUUUACUCUUUGAAAAUAAAACCACUUGGUGGAUAAAAUUAUAAUCACGGUUAAAUAUUCAAACAUGAGAUGAACUAAUAUUAAGAAUCUAAAUCAACAGAAAAUGAAUUAUAUUUCAUGUUAAAACCAAAUAAUUAAAUCUUUCAAUUAUUUAUUUAGCAAGAGAAUACAAUUAAAUUAUUUUUUAAAUUCAUCAUAUGAGAGAAAUUAUUUUUCAAGUUGAAAAAAAUAUAAUAUUAAGAAGAUCAUACAAGUAUUUGAGGAAGCACAAUCUAAGCUAAAUCCUGAACAAGAAUAAGUUUUCAAGAUUAUAUUAUAAAAACUGACUCGGGUAUAGCGGGAUUAUCUUUUGUAGAUGCCUCCGACGGAAUCAAAAUAAUAUUUCUAUGUCAUGUAUUAUUUGCAAAUAUCAAAUCAAGAGGCAUGAUAUUAUUAGCAGUAAGAACAAGUGGUUUACCAACAACAAUUUUAUUAUGAGGUCGUACAACUCACUUUAGAUUUGAUAUACCUCUUGAAAUAACUGAAAUAACCAUCACAAAUAUGUCAAAUCAGAUCAAUAGUGCUAAAUUUAUAAGGAAAACAAAAGUUAUGGGAUGAAGCGAAUUUGGCUAAGCGUCAAACGAUCAAAAUAAUUACCCAUUGUUUUAGAGAUAUAUUGGAUAUCGAGAACCAUUUGGUAAAAACGUAAUAGUUUGGGAGGUGAUUUCUGUCAGAUACGAUCAGUAGUUCCAAAAUUGACCAAAGCAGAAACUGUAAAGCUAGCUUUCCAAAAUUAUACUUAUGACCUCAAAUAAAAAAUAUUCAAAUGACAAGAAAUAUAAAAUUAAUAACAAAUCCAACAUUCAAUGACUUCUUGCUUCCUGUCGGAAACGAAGAAGAGCAUCAAAUAAAAGAUGAUUUGGUUCUUCUAGAACACUUGGUUAUUGUAAUGAUCCGGCUGGUCGUUUUGAGUAUCUGCACUUCGCUCGGUAUUUUGAGGUCUCGAGUAUCUUCGCAUGAUGUAUUAUGACUUGUGUAAGUCGUCGGUAUUGGUUUUCAAGUUAUCCGAAAUCGAUUUGGAAGAAUGAACUUAAAGAUUUAAGCUCUAAGUUGGAAGAGUUGACCAAGUUUGAUUUUUUAGCAUUUAACCUCGGAAUACAAUUCCGUCAAUUCCGAUAGCUCCGUUGGGUAAUUUUGGACUUAGGAGCGCGUCCGAACUGUAAAUUGGAGGUCCGUAAUUGAAUAAGUCUUGAAAUGGCGAAAGUUGGAUUUUUGGAAAGUUUGACGGGGAGUGGACUUUUUGAUAUCGUGGUCGGAUUUCGAUUUCGUCAGUUCGAAUAGGUCUGUAAUGACAAAUGUGACUUGUAUGAAAAAAUUGGGAUCAAUUGCACGUGAUUUAAUAGGUUUCAGCAUCGGUUGUAGAAGUUGAAGUUUCAAAGUUCAUUGACUUGGACUUGAGAUACGAUUUGUCGUUUUGAGGUUGUUAUGCGUGAUUUGAAGCUUCGAGUAGGUUCGUUUUGUCAUAUAGAACUUGUCCGCAAAAUUUAGAUCCAUUUGGAAUUGAUUUGAUAUGGUUCGGACACUUGGUUGUGAUUCUAGAAGUUCUUAAAGUUUAGUUUGAUCCUCAUGCAUUUAGGCGUCCGAUUCGUGGUUUUAGAGGUUAUUUUGAUGAUUUGAUCGCACGAGCGAGUUCGUGUUGUGUUUCUGGACUUUGGUUCAUGGUUAGUUUGGAUCCUCAAGGGCUCGGGUGAGUUUCGGAAUGAUUUUUCAUAAACUUUGAUUUUUGGUAAUGGUAUCAUCACAGUUGCGAUGUUUUUGUCGCAAAUGCGACAACCGCAAUUGCAAAGCAGCCAUCGCAUUUACAAGGUCUGGGCUGCUGGGAAAAUUUGCAUUUGCCAAGAACCCUGCCGCAUUUGCGAAAUGUUGGUCUUCGUAUUUGCGAAGUAUUGGGUCGCAAAUGCGACCUUGACAGGAAAACUUCUUGAGAGUCGAAUAGGACUCGGAUUUGAAAACAAAAUAUAUAUUUGAACUCGUGAGGCUAUGGGUAGUCAAGACCUACCAUUGGACCCGGAUUUUUACCUGGCGGGCCAGGGGUUUGACUUUUUAGAAAUCUAAUAAAAAUCACAGUUUUAUUAAUUAAAAUUACUUUCUCUUUCAUUGUGUGAUGUAUUCAAGUCAUCGUUGGAUAGAUUGAGCCGAGCGGAGGCGAAUUUGUAAAGGAAAAGGCUAAAUUUAGUAUUGAGUUAGCCGAAUUGAGGUAAGUGUCUUGCCUAACUUUGUUGAGGGAAUUUUUCCUCCUAUUUGACAAUGUUUUCUACAUGCGGGGGUGAUACAUAUAUGAGGUGACGAGCGUAUAUAUAUGUGCCAGGGUUAAUCAUGCUUGGGGGUAGAUUAUGUAUAAUUAUGUCUUGUACAAUUACGUGACCUUCUUGCUCCAUGCCUUACUUGACUCUUAGAUACUAAGAACAUAGUAUUAAAUGUUGAAAAUCAAGAUUUAAAUUAUUAUAACUUGAUCAAAUUUGAUGGAAUUCUAAGAAUACAUUUAUGUGUCUAAUUCGGUUAUUCCUAUGCGUAGUCAUUAAUACAUUGCUACAGCCGAUCUUCUAGAGAUACUAGAUUCUAUACUUGUGUUGUUGAUCAUUUGGAGAUUUGUGGAAGUACUUGAAUAAUACGGUUCUUGAGGGUUUAUUGAAUCAUCGUUGGCUUGGAAAGUUGUGAUUGGGAUUUGUUUGGAAUAUUCGUUUAAACACUCUCCUUGAUGUUAUUUAUUCCCCAUGUGUUGUUUGUCAUUGAUAUACACAUGUUUGGUAAGGAAGAGUGUAAAGUACGAAGGGUGAUGCCGUGCCAUAGUUAUACAUUAUCAUGUGAGGGAGAGUGUAAAGCACGAAGGGUGAUGUCGUGCCAUAUUAUUUGAGAGUAAAAGCACGAAGGGUGAUGCCGUGCCAUAUUAUUUGAGAGUAAAAGCACGAAGGGUGAUGCCGUGCCAUAUUAUUGGGAGUAAAAGCACGAAGGGUGAUGCCGUGCCACAUCAUUUGAGAGUAAAAGUAGGAAGGGUGAUGUUGUGCCAUUUCAUUUAUAUUGUUAUGCUUUUAUGUUAUCGUGAGAUCAUGGCACGAUGGGUGUUUUCGUGCAGGUGAGGAUGAGGGACAUGCAUCAUGUUGUGAUAUCUGUUUUUCCGUGUAUAUGUUCACGUCUUUAUCUUGAACGGUUAUUGUCGUAUUUAUAGACCUCGUGUGACUUGUUAUUAUUGUCCUGUCCUUGCUCUCUAUUUCAAUCGUUGUUGUGUUGUACAUAUCUUGUACUUGUUUUAUUUGCAAAACACAUGCCUAUUUCCUGUUGUUAUAAUUACCUCCAUGUCGUGUCUAUUCUGUUGCAUUUUAGUACAAGCCCUUUUUCUAUGUUAGUUAUUCAUGCCUCUGCUUGUUAACUUGUAAAGAUCAUGUGAUUCCUUCUUAUUUGUUAUAUCUGUACUUAGGCCUCCAUCAUGCUAGUUAAUUGAAGUUGAUAUUCCUUAUUUUUCAAUUGUUGUCAUUACUCACAUGCUUUCCGCCUAGUCUUUUAUUGUUGCCCACAUGUAUAUCCUCGUUCAUUAUUGCUACUUGCGUAUUUCCUACUUUGUAAUUCCUAUUUUCGAUAUUUAUGUCAUCUAGUUGGUUCUAUUAUAAGUAUAUGAGGAUGAGAUAAAAGCACGAAGGGUGUUGCCAUGUAAUUAACUUGAUAUCUGAGUACAUUCCUCAUGCUAUGAAAGUUAUGAAGUGACUGUAGUGGUUUAUCAGUUUCAUUCUAAGGAAAGCGAUGGUCAAGGUAUUGUAAGAUGCUAAAUUGUGAUCACUGCUAGUAUUCGAUUAUUAUUUGCGUAUUCGUUUCAUGUAAUCUUUUCUGUUAUAGCGUGGUAUAACUCUAUUGUUGAUUUAUACUACAGGUUUUUAUCAGUGAGUAUCUUUUAACUAAAAAGCCUCGUCACUACUUCCACGAGGUUAGACGAGAUACUUACCAGUAUAUGGGGUCGGUUGUACUGAUACAACACUUCUGCACAUUGCGUGCAGAUUUUGGAGUGGAGCUGCAAGUGAUAUCGGGUGCUGACUUUGAAGAUGUUCAUGCAUUCUGGAUAUAGUUUCCACUUGUCCUUGGUAGCUUAGGUUGUGCUAAUCUCUUAAGUAAAUUUCAAACACAUCGUGUAAUUAUUUGUACUAGCUUUAUAAAUUCCAAGUCUUAGAAGGUCAUGGUUCGUACUACUAGUUCUUGGGUAAAUUUGUAAAUGUUCAGAUAAUUCUUCUCUAUUCUUACUAUAAUCUCAUUCAGAUUGUAUUUUCUGUUAGUGGCUUACCUAGCGGAUCGAGUUAGGUGCCAUAACGACUUGUGAUUUUUGGGUCGUGACAGUUAUCAACCCCAAUGGUAAUAGUAGUGCAUUUAAUAAAGAAAAUAUUUUCAUCAUUAGAUUAAAAUGCAAUUUGUGUAAAUUAUAUGAUAGAAAUUAAAGAGCUAUCUUAGCUAGCAAAAAUGAAUAUACUGAUCAACUAAAUAAAAGGUUGAUUGCUAUGUUUUAUGGUAAUGUUACACCCAAUGUUUCGUACGUAAAAGUAUGCCAUAAGUAAAUUAAUGGGAGCUCGGAAAUGAGAUGUUACAUCUCGCAUUUUCGUGUGUUAAAGUUUUUUCGUAAGUUAAUCGAUGUAAGUUUGGGAAUGAUAUUAUUUUGAGAUUAUAAAUAUUAUGCUAUUUCAAACAAGCGACAAGUAAAUUCGUGAAUGUGAAAGGGUAAGCUGUAGCGAUCCGGCAGGUCAUUUUGAGAAUUAAUGCCCCGAUCAUCUAUUCACUGCUUUCCCCGUAUCUAUUUCUAUUAUUGUGAAUUGCCGGGAUGGUUCAUCUUGAGUUUCGGAGUGUUUUGGGACACUUAGACCCUAAAUAAGAGCGUAAGUCUUAGAAUUUGGACCGUAGUCGGGGAAGUAUGAAGAUGUCUCCGGAAUAGAAUUACGUUGAUUCCGCUAGCUCCGUUGGGUGAUUUCGGUCUUAGAGGCAUGUUUGGAUUGCGUUUUGGAGGUCUGUAGCUCAUUUAGGCUUGAAAUGGCGAAAGUUGAUUUUUUGGAGUUUCGGCCCAACAGUGGAAAUUUUGACAUCAGGGUCAAAAUCCGAUUCUAAAAGUUGGAAUAGGUCCAUAGUAUUGAAUAUGACUUGUGUGCAAAAUUUGGGUUCAAUCGUACGUGUUUUGCUUGGUUUCGGUAUCAGAUGUAGAAUUUUGGAAAUUCAAGUUUUUAAGUUUGGAUUAGAGGGUGAUUCGUAGUUUUAGAGUUGUUUGAUGUGAUUUGAGUGAUCAACUAAGUUCAAAUGAUGUUUUAGGAUUGAUUGGUAUGUUUGGUUGAGGUUCCAGGGGCCUCGGGUGAGUUUCGGAUGCUCAACGGGUCAUUUUUGGACUUAAAGAAGUGGCAGAUUUUCUGGUGUUUUGUUGCAGUGAAAUCCUUCAUCGCGUUCGCGAGAGGAGUCUCGUGUUCGCGUAGAGCAUCUGGGAGAAGCAGCUAAGUGGUACUUUGCAUUCGCGAAGGUGUGGACCCUUUAGCCUACGCGUUCGCGACAUGGUCCUCGCGUUCGCGAAGGGUCUGCCAGUGUAAGCUAUGCGUUUGCGAAAGGACCCUCGCGUUCGCGAAAGAGGAAUUUGGGCCAGUGGGAUUUUUCUCAACGCGUUCGCGAAGAAGGACGCAUCUGGGCAGAAUUUAAAAAUCCAAAAUCGAGGGUUUGAGUUCAUAAUUUUAAAAAUUAAUAGAGAGCUCGGUAGAAGGCAAAAUUUGGAGAGAUUUUCGGAGGAAGUUUGUGGGUAAUGAUUCCUAACUACUUUUUUAUUAUAUCCCAUUAAUCUAAGCUCAAUUUCAUCAUUUAAUUUCGAAUUUGGGGUGAAAAUUUAGGGAAAAUUUUAGAAAAUCUUUAGGCCGAAUUUUGGGAUUUUGAUCGAUAUUUUGGUAUCGGAUUUGGGUGAAUUUGGUAUGGUUAGACUCGUGAGUGAAUGAGUGUUCAUAAUUUGUGAUUUUUACCUGAUUCCUAGAUUUUGGUCCGGGGAGGAUUUUUUGGCAUUUUCCUAUUUUCUUACCUUAGCUUUGAAUUAAUUAGUUAAACUAGUUGCUUGUAGUUUUAUUUACGUUAUGUAAUUAAUUUGAUUAGAUUUGGGCUACUUUGAGUUGGAUACUCGUGGCAAGAGCGUGAUAUCAGAUUGAUUUUGAGCUGGUUCGAGGUAAGUGGCUUGCUUAACCUUGUGUGGGGGGAAUUUCCCUUAGGAUUUUGGUACUGUUAUUAUAUGAAUGCCGUGUACGUGAGGUGAUGAGUGCGUACAUGUGCUAAUUGUUAAAAAACUCCGUUUUCUUUAAGUAAAUAUCUAUGUUUUUCCUUUAAUUGAACAAUACUAGUGUGUGAAGCCUCAUGUUUAGCUCAGGAAAGCAUGCUUAUGUGACUUAAUUGUCUUAUUUGCGUUAACUGCUUAUUUGGAUUCUGUGUAGCAUGUCUAGAGUAGGAAUUUCCUAUUUCUUGAUACGAACUUGAAUAGAACUGUCAAUUUCUUGUUAAGACUAUUGUGUAUUUACUUUGGGACUACGGAUCGGUAUUUCGAGAGAUCUCCCUGCACAUUUAUAUUUGGGACUAAGGGACGGUAUCCUGGGAGAUACCCCUGUACUAGAUAUUUACUUUGGGACUACAGAUCGGUAUCCUGGGAGAUUCUCUAUACAUUUACGUUUGGGACUACCAGACGUUAUCCUGGGAGUUCCCCCUGUUGUUAUCUUUGUGUAUUGAGUUAUUUCUUUAUGUGAUAUCAUCUUUAUUGACUGUUAGUAUUUUAAUUAUACUGUCACAUUUCAUACUGUUUUACCUUGUUAUAUAUAUAACCAGUAGGGCCCUGACCUGAUCUCGUCACUACUCGACCGAGGUUAGGCUUGACACAACUGGGUACCGCUGUGGUGUACUCAUGCCCUUUCUUGCACAUGUUUUUCGUGUGUAGAUCCAUGUUCUUCUGCUCAACCAUACUAUCCGUGAGGCGAGGUGAUUCGGAGACUUCGAGGUAUAUCUACCGCGUUCGCAGGCCUGGAAGUCCCUCUCUAUUCUCCCUUCAGUUAUAGACUUCUUGUAUUUUUCUUCGUUUAGACUUCUGGAGUUAGAACACUAUGUAUUUCUUUAGCUUGUGAUUCAUGCGAUUCCGGGUUUUGGGAGUGCUAUGUUCAGUCGAGAGUGUUAUUAUUGUAUAUGCCGAGCGACAUUUUAAACUCUUUUAUUAUAGUUACUUGUUAGUUGGCUAGUUUUGUUUCUUUAAUUCAUUUUCCGCAAAUUGUUAGGCUUGACUAGUAGACUAGGUGCCAUCACGAUAGUUCACGGAGGGAGAACUUGGGUCAUGGCAUAAGCGAAUCGAAGAAAGUGAAUUUCGGCGAAGUUUGACUUUUUGAGAUAAAUACGAUCCAAGCUACAAUACCCCGUAUUUAUGGAUUAGUGUCAUACAAGGUACCACAUGACCAUGAUAGUAAGAUGUAUAAGGUAUGUUAAAAGUGAGUAGUAUUUUAAGUAAUUUGAGAUAAUUCUUAAUUAUGCAGGUAAUUAAUUAACUAUUGGGUAAUGAGAGAUUACCUAGUUAAUUAAGGAUUUAUUGGGUGAUUAAUUAAGCACAUUUGGAUAAGUAUUAAACUCCAAGAUGGCAGCAAAUUAAGCCCAAUUUUAUGACUCAUUAGUCAUUAGGAUAGGUGGCACAUUAAGGGGUCUUUGGGCAAGACUAAUCCCUAAAAAAUGAGGCCCACCUAAAAAUUUAGUAUAACUUUUCUAGUUCAAAAAUCAUUCUCCUAACCUCUUAAAAGACUUUCAGCAAAGGAGUGUAGUAACGUUAUUGACAAAAACAUUCUGCCAAGGAAUAUAGCAACAUUAUUGACAAAGAGUUUCAGCCAAGGAACGUAGCAACGUUAUUGAGAAAGAGUUUUAGCCAAGAUUAUCUUUGCAUAGCAACGCUAUUGCUUCGAGCAUUUUAUACGUAUUUCUCCUACUCCAAUUUUACCGUCACGUAUUUUGUUGCAAUUAACGUGUGUUAGUGGAAUUGUCAAGAAAAUCGACUCAGGCAUGUUAAGGAUAUCACUUCUUUCUUUUGGUGUGAUGUAUAUGACACAAACGAAACAAGAAAAAUCCACAACUUCCAUAAAUGACUCUAUUCAUAGAAUUAUUAGAGGUGCCUAUGUUCUUGAAUUUCCAUGUGUCCUAUUAUUUUAUAAUCUAUUCAUGAGCCUCAGAAAAAUACGUAAAUUGAUUUUAUGAUAUUAAUCAGAGGCAUAAUGGUCUUAUGACACUCCGAAAGAUUUUAUUGACGUACUUCUCAUGAAUUGCAUUCAUUUACAUUGACCCAUGACCAGAUGGAGUUAUAUACGCGUAUAUAUGUAUAUUAUAUGCAUAUGGGAUAUGGAAAAAGGUUACUGCAUUAUAUACGCACAACCACCUGAUCAGCUGGUAUACGUUGAUGAUUUUACCCACAGUGGCCGAGAUGAUGUGAUGAGAUGCCCUCAUAGGCUUGAUGAUGUUAUGAAUACAUGUACUAUGCAUGACAUGACAUUGAUACGCAUAUGCAUGACACUAUAAGUAUUUCAUGAUUUACAGAGUUAUCCAGACUUACGGGUUAAGUCAUUUACUCCAUGUUUCUUUCAUGUCUUUUAUGUACUUAUUUGUGUGCCUUACAUACUCGGUAUAUUAUUCGUACUGACAUCCUUUUUUCCUUGGGACGCUACGUUUCAUGCCCGUAGGUCCCAAUAGAUAGGUCGAAAGUCCUCCAAGCAGGCUAUCAGCUCAGCGGAAGAUGUUGGUGUGCUCCAUUUGCUCCGGAGUUGCUUGUUUGGUCAGUAUGAUUUAGACAUGUAUUGUUUGGUAUGACGGGGCCCUGUCCUUUACGAUAAUAUAUACUCUUAGAGGCUUGUAGAAAGAUGCCAUAUAUACGGAUGCUUGUAUGGCCUUGCCGACCUAUGUUUUGAGUUUACAAAUAAUCAUGUUGGCCUUAUAGGCCCGUAUGUUACAUGUAUAAGUUUUUAUAUCAGGUUGGGUCGUCCUAUAUUGAAUAUUUUCCUAUAUUUAUUCUGGUUAGCCCAUGACGGCCCGUUUGGCCCAUUUGCCAAUGAAAGUAUGAUAAGAAAUAUAUGUUAUGUUGGUACUCGGUUGAGUAAGGUACCGGGUGACCGUUGCGGCCCAUAAGUAUGGGUCGUGACCGGUAAAAAUAAAAUAUUUUUCAGUUUUGACUCAGUAGAAGAUGAUACCAACAAUAACUACCAAGAAGAAUACUUAAAUACUUUAAUACCAAAUGGCCUUCUUCCGUACAUGCUUUUGUCAAGUUCAUUAUUUCUUACGUAUGUUAGUGUCACCAUAUAUAUAAUAGACUAAGUUAAAAUUGAUCUUCUAUUGCAUAUAUGUUUAUGCACGUCAUGCUACUGAAAAUUUAGAUCCGCUAAAUAGCUUAUGUAAUAGUACACAUAUGGUAUAUAGAUUAUUUAACGACAACGUCAUACAUGCAGAACUUAUGAUACUGGUCAAUGUGCUUCUAAGUAUGUGUUUAUCCCCAAAUUCAACUUUUGUCUUCCGAAACUAAAGAAUAUCCUUUUAAAUUUGUGUGAAAAUAAUUUUCAUUAUGUUUAUGUUUUAUAGUUUUAAUAAAUAAAACACAAUGACAAACAUCCUAAAUGUUGAACUAUAUUUACCAUAAUAUGUUUUCUUACACGAAUAACUAUAUGUUGCACUUUCAACAGAGAUAUCAAUAUUAACAAUAAGAGUUUUGGUUGUGGAAUAGUAACCAAAGCAUUAGAAGGCAAUAUACACAAAAAUAUAGCGCAUAUAAAGAAGUGUUUGGCAAGAUACCAUCACGUUAGAUACCUUUAAACUACAAUACAUAAUUAUCUAAUUAACAUGGCUAAACUUUUCCAUUUUCAGAUAUUACUAAUAUCAUAUUAGAAUGGCAGUUGGAAGGAGAAAGACAAUAAACCAACAAAUAAAAGGCAAGCAAAGAAACUGUUCGACUGAAUAUACCUAACAAGUUUGCCGACACUCCUCAAUAUUCAACAGAUGCCAAAAUAUGGGUCCUAAUCAUAAUGCCGACCUUUUUUAUUGCUAUCCAUACUUUAAUAUAGUAUAGUUAUGAAAAAGGUUACUAUCAAGCAAUUCAUGUGGGAGAUGAGCUGGAAUUUCGGUUCAAAGAUACUCAAGAUCUCCAUUUGUGAUUUCAAACUUUUACAUUUUUUUUUUGGGGAGAUAAUAAUAGUUUUCAGUGUAUUGUAUCGAAGCCAUAUGAAGUUAAUUAGCUAGCGAUGUCUUUAAUUCCAACAGAAUGGAUAAUGAAAUAAAUUGCUAUUGAUAUUUUGAUUUUUUGGUUCCUUUUAUUUUCUGCUAUUAAUGAGAUAAUAUAUUUUUAUUUUAUGCUUCUUAUGGGAUCAUAAAUCUACAUAUAACGUGACAUUGGUGGAAGAUUACAAAUUCUUAAAAAGAAAAAUGUUAUGUUGCUCAAUUUUCUUUCUUGAUAGCAGACAAAAUUCAAGAACAAAGACAGAACAAUAUUAUAAAAUGAGAGCAAAAUAUAGCUUUUUUGUGUACAGAAUAUUUCUAUCCCUAUAACGGAUGAUAAUCUUUUUAUUUAUAGCUCUAUUCAGUGAGACAAGAUCCCCAAAUUAAGUUUUUCUUGAAUGAGAAUAAAACUGUCAUUAAUGGAUGCAUAAUGAUUGGUUAUAAAUGCAGAUAUUCUUUGCAACUGCUGCUCAUUGAAUAAUAUUCGAUGACAAUGCUUUGAAUCUUCGUUACUGGCUACUCUAUCUUCGGAAUUCGUUCAACAUCGAUUGCAUGCUUACAUCCGGUGAUGAUUGUUUGCUGACUCAUGUGCCACCUGUAUUUAGUUCUACGUGUCACUUUGUCAUUCAUCCAACUGUCAUUAACCUAUUUUACCCCAUACAGAUACUCCCCUUACUUUUCGGUAACACAACUUAGUGUUACCGGAAAGUAGAUAAGAAUUCUUUUCUUGGCGAAAAAAUUCCUGAACGGUCUCUGACACUUGAAAGGGCACAUGUCUUCUCGCAUUUAAUGACCCAAACAUGUGUUGCUCCAUGAUUCAGCAAAUAUUUUCACUGGUUUUCGAGGUACUCAUGACUAAGAUUUUUGUUAUCUAUAACUUCUCCCCUACUCAUCAUUUUUACUCUUUACUUUCACAACUCCCUCUUCUUCCUUGAUUCUCCUUAGAACCAUUCUGUGACAUUCAACUUUCUUAGUAAAACUUUUCUUCAAACAUAUCUUCAAGCAUUACCAUCCUCGGAAACUCUGGCCUUUUCUUCAAAAGACCCCCAAAGAAAACAAAAACAAAGGAAGUUGAAGCUGAAUCUGAACCUCCCACCCUGAACUCCAUCAUACCUCUUAAACUUAAUACGAAAUCAGACCUUCAAUAACAGAAAGCACCUUCAAAUUCUAAAAGUGAUAGGUUCUGGCCUAUUCGGAGGAACCCUUCUUCCAUUCGUCCUCCUAGUGUCCUUGUCAUGAAGGAGGAAUGCCAUUGGAACAAGGUUGAAAUCCUCACCCCCAAAAAAGGUAGAAAGAGUUACCUUCUCCAAGCCAGGUUUCAUAUAUUUUUACACAUACCCUUUCACUUUGGGCCAUUUAACUUUGAGAAUGGGUGAAGGAACUGACCCAAUAAUCUUAGAGUUAUCCCAUCGAUACCAAGUAUGUUUGGCAUAAGUAGGCCUAUCUGUGUGGCGUACGGUGGUUUGCCACCACCAAUGGUGUUAUGAGACCGAGGAAACCCUAACUCUCGUACAUAUAAUGAACCUCUACUCCAAAAAGAUUUUUCGUGAGGGUAUGCUAAAUCUUAGAAAAUGCGGUGAUCAUGCUCUUCUUACUAGCAUUGACAACGACACUAACCGUGGAUGGAUGGAACAGUUUGUUAUUAUCGCUACCAGGGAUAUCAUCCUAACCACAAUACCAGCUUUUCCCAAAUCAUGAAAUCUUUUUCGUAAGUUUUUCGGGUAUUUGCUUCCUUUCCUUGUAAAAAGAAAUCUUCUUUCUUUGCUAACUUUUUAUUUUCUUUAUUCCAGCCACUCACUAGGAGCUCCAGCGGUUCAAGAUUUGGACCGAUGGGUACAAAAAAUUCUGAAUAUCACUAUACCAGAAUUCUAAAGGUGAAAGGGAAUGACUCCCAAAUACGGGUGGAAAUCCAAAAAUCAUGAUAAAUAAAACUCUUCUUCCUUUAUUUCAACCGUUUAAUACAUUCUGCAAACAAUUUAACUACCUUAUAUUGCCAAACAGGACUUCCGAACGGAUCCAUUGUGUGCCCCGACAUCGAAGCUCUUGAUGACCCAAUGGAAGCUCAACGAGUAUUUUAGAGUGCCCUUAACCAGAGGAGGGCUCGUGAAUGUACUCGUGCCUCUACUAAAGGUGCCUCCUCCCGAAGUCUCUAGUCAAAAAAUAAGCAACCAAAAAGGAAACGUAUCUCCACGGUUGGGACUCAGGAGAAGAGAAUAAUAAAACACCAACCGGACCAACCACAAUGGUCCUUGAUGAUGAAGAAGAGGUUGAUGGUGAAGAGGCCCCCUUUCAAAAAAGAAAAAGAUCUUCAUCAAUUCAACCGGAUGCUUAGCCGGGGGAGUUUCAAACUCUACCUCCAAAGGAAGUUCAAGAACUCUGGGAGGGGGAGGGGGUGAAAUAGCAAUAUCCGAAAAUGCUACAUCUCAUUUUUGGAUUCCCACAAUUGCUUCUGCUUAAAGGAUUUGAAUUCCUGACCUUCCUCCAUUGUCAACUUUUGAGCCGAUAAUAGCUUCUUCUCCAUCCACACCAACUACUUCUUCUCCACUGACCCCAGCUGAACAAGUAGGGAAUGCCCCUUCUCCACAGUCUCCCAACCAAGAAAAUUUGAGAAAUACUUAUUUGGUACCCACUCAAGACCCUCAUGGAAAACAAAGUGCCAUUCUUUCGAUUUCGAAGGAGUGCCAUAUACUUUCCAAGACGGUGGAUCUCGCCAAUUACCUGAAGUCGUUGGGCUCAGAGAAAGAUUGGAGAAAGUAGGACACUCUUUUUGUGAAGUGUCUGAUAAACAAUAACAUGCAUUGUUCGGUGCAGGUAGCAAUCUAACUUCCUCCUAUCUUCUUUUAAUUUGCACUUCGCAUUAAUUACUUUAGGUCUAACCUUUUUCAUGUCAACCUUAUUGCUUCCAAGGGCCUGCAAAGGUUGAUUUUGGACAAGCAAGAGAUUUCUUCAGAACGAGAUCAACUUUUGGUUGAAGGAAUUAGCUUACCGGGCGCCUCUCAGUGCUGGAGGCAAAAAUUGCUCAAAUAGAUGACCUCAAGGCCCGAUUCCAGCAGUCCAAACAAGAUAGAGUGGCUCACAGCUUGGAAUCCGCCCAGCUACAUGAAAACCUUACAGACCCAAAGCCUAAAUGUGUUGAACUUCAUGAUAUUGUGACUGUUGCUGCCGAGCGCGAGUCUGUCUUUAUGGAACAAGUUAAUAACUUAGAGGCUAUCUUACGCUCCAAAAUUGAGGAGGCCAAUGCUGCCAAGGAGAAUAGGGCGAGAAUGGAGGAAAGAUUCAAAAGGACCAUGGAGCAGAAUCAACUCCAUUCAUUAACCUAUGUCGAGCUGGACUCCAAAAUCAACAUUAUUAAAGCUGAAAAUGAAAAUCUCUAAUCCAAGAUUGAAAAAUUCCGAGCUAAACUCUAAGACCAAGAGGAUCCACUCGUCUUCGAGAAAACCUACACCAUUUAUUAUACGAAGAGGAAGACCUUGGAGGAUGCUAAAGAUGGAAUUUCUAACAUUGAUGAAUAUAGUGCUAAAGCACAGGAGCUGGAUACAACUACUCACAAGAAUCUCCCUACUCGGCCCAUUACAUCUGAUUCUUUGAAUACUAACUCCGAGUAAUCGGGAACCGAGGGAGAGACUGAAAAAGAUGAAGGCCUCUAAUCGGAAGUGGAACAACCUUCUCCUAAUAAAGAAAACGAAGGCUUUUCUCUCCCUUUGGGUUCUGGCAGCAAGAACUGAUGUAGUUUUCAUUACUUCUUGUAAUUGUGACAAAACUUUCCACUAGUUUGGCAAUUUAUUUAAUAAAAGAAACCAUUUACUUAAGUAUUGUGCAAGAAAAUAUUCUUUUACAUUAACUGACAAAGUUUCAGGAAUCUUUUCACAUCCGAUAGCUUUUGAUUCCAGGCAUAAACACUUCCAGAAUCUACCUUUUACUAUGAGGGUUUCAUAAGAGAGGGCCCUCGUAUUUACGAUGACAAUGUCUCAUGUUCAUUCCGGCACAACCAUUUAAAGUUUUUGUUAACACUCAAAUGAUAAAAUAAAUUAACUUAUCAUUCAGGAAAGAAUAAUAUAAAAAUAAAAGGACUUUGAUUUAUUCCCUCUAUCUUUAAAAGUAUAUUUACAUAAACAUUCAUUUGCUUAAGUAAAUAAAGGUUCCAAUACAUGUGGCUAACUUGUACAACUUAUUUCUGUGAGGCUGAUCAUGUAGUCACCGGCCCUGAUAAGAUAUUGAUCCUGGUUCUACUGGUCCCUGUCUUUAUAACACUUUUACUGCUUUGAUAUGUAUUAUUCCCACCAAUGUUCAGAUUCUAAGUGUGAGAAUUAGAACACUGAGGUCUUGCAUUCGUCGAUGACAUAUCGUAGUAUCUUUACAUUAUUGCCUUAUUAAUAGAAAUAACUUGGGGAUGGUUAAAUAAUCUACUUCCAGAUGUUAACAAGCCAAAGAUUACUUAACCAUCCACAAGUUGUUUGCCUCACGAGUUGAUCUACAUAAAACUAUUUCUGGAAGUCCCUCAUUUGUCGACGACCCUUCCUUCAUAGUAUGCUUUAUAUUGUUGCCUCAUUAAAAACCUUGCUAGAAAAAUAUAAUUGGGAUAAAAACUGGUCGAAGAGAAAAGGAGUGUAGAGCAUACUUUUAGUACCAGCAAGGAUCUUUAGCAAUAUUACCUUUUGAGGUGGGUCAUAUUCCAAUUGCUUGGCAAUUUGACUCCAUCUUGAUCUUCCAAUUCAUACGAACAUUUACCAGUUAUAGCUGAAAUCUGAUAAGUUCUUUCCCAUGUUGGUCCCAGCUUCCCAACAUUAACGUUUCAAGUACUUUGAGUGACUUUUCUUAGGACCAAAUCCCCAACUUUGAAAUAUCAUAGAUUCUCUCUGCGGUUAAAAUACAUUUGCAUCAUUUGCUUUUGUGCCAUUAUCCUUACAUACGCCAGAUCCCCAUGCUCUUCAAGCAAAUCUAAUUUAUCCAGCAAUGAUUCAUUGUUUGCUUUUUCUUUUGCUCGGAAAAACCCUAUGUUCAGUUCCCCCACUUCCAUCGGUAUCAAAGACUUUUAAUUGUAUACAAGUGAAAAGGGUGUUUUAUACGUGCUCGACUUUGUCGUGGUCUGGUAUGCCCAUAACAUACCCGGUAGCUCAUCUGGAAACUUGACUUUAGCAUCUUCUAACUUCUUUUAAGGUUUGAAUAAUUACCUUGUUAGUCGACUCCACCUGUCCAUUAGCACUCGAGUGGUAUGGUAAAGAUGUAACUCGUUUGAUCUUCAAUCCUUCCAAAAACUUUGUCAGUUUGGAAACUAUGAAUUGUGGUCCAUUGUCACAAGUUAUUUCUAUUGGUUUUCCGAAUUGGUAAAUUAUGGUCCUAUAUAAAAUUGACCAUCUCUCAUUAUUCGAUCUUUUGGUAAGCACAUGCUUCAACUUAUUUAGUAAAAUAAUAAUUUAAAACCAAAAGAAAUUUUACCUUACCAGGUUCUAGUGGCAAGGGACCCACUAUGUCCAUCCCCCAUUUCAUAAAUGGCCACGGUGACACCACCGAAUGCAAAAGUUCUACAUAUCAAUGCACUAACUGUGCAUGACGCUGACAUUUAUCACACUUUUGUAGAAUUAUCUUUGCAUCUUGCUACAUCCGGGGUCAAUAGUAGCCAGCUCUGACUAACUUGAGAAUUAAUUAGUCUACACCAGAAUGGUUCCGGAAUACUCCUUCAUGAACUUCCAUCAUCACAUAGUCAGCCUCCGAGGCCCCUAGACACAAAUCUAGUGCCCCUUGGAACGAUCUCAUGUAUAACUGUCAAUCAAAAAGAUAGUAACGAGUCACCUUGGUCCGUAGUGCCAAGGAUUCUUUUGGGUCUUCUAGAAAUUUGCCAUGUCUUAGAUAUUCAAUGAACUCGUUCCUCCGGUCCCAUAUUAAGUUGGUUGAAUUAAUUUCACAGUAGCUGUCCACGCCCAACACCGAAUAUAGUAAUUGAACGAAUAUACCAGAAUCAGAUCCUUCCAUCUCUGUGGAUGAACCCAAAUUGGCCAAUGCGUCUGCCUUCAAAUUUUCCUCCCUUGGAAUGUGGACGAUUGACCACUCUGUGAAUCGUGUAAGUAAUGGUUGAACCUUGUUCAAGUUCUGUUGCAUGCGCUACUCCUUGGUGUCGAAAAUUCUAUACACUUGGUUUACCACCAACUGGAAUCGCAUUUUAUCUCGAUGACCUUGGAACCUAGUCCCCGAGCUAGUUCAAGUUCUGCAACCAAAGCCUCGUACUCGGCUUUAUUGUUAGUUAAUGGUAAAAUUCUAUUGGCCUUCCUUAGGGUUUCCCCCAAAUGAGUGAUUAAAAUUACACCAAAACCGGACCCUUUUACGUUGGAGGCUCCAUUUGUAAACAAGAUCAGACUCUCUAUACCAUUCCCGAUACCAACAAUGCUUCUUUAGCAGUAAAGGCAUUAAUUCCGAACUGAAAUCAGUCACGAAGUCGGCCUAAACUUGUUACUUAAUUGCAGUCUUGGGCUUGUAUUCAAUAUAGAAUUCACUAACUUCGACCACCUACUUAGCCAAAUGACCUGACAACUCAGGCUUAUGAAGGACAUUCCUUAACGAAAAGGUUGUCACAAUGGCUAUUAGAUGACAUUAAAAAUAUGGUCUAAGCUUCUAAGAGGCAACUACGAGAGCUAAGGCCAGCUUUUCAAGGUGCGGAUAACGUGUAUCCGCUCCUGAUAAUAUUUUACUAAUAUAAUAAAUGGGAAAUUGCAUACCAUCUUCUUCCCGGACCAAAACGGCACUUACCACUACUUUUGAGACCGCUAGAUAAAUCAAUAGUUGCUCACCUUCUCCUAAUUUCUACAACAACGGAGGGCUAGAUAGGUACCUUUUUAGGUCUUUAAGUGCAUAUUGGUAUUCCGGAGUCCAUACGAUGUCAUUCUUUUUUUUCAAAAGCAAAAAAAAAAUGAUGGAACUUUUACGAAGACCUCGAGAUGAACCUUCUUAGAGAUACCAAUCUACCGGUCAACAUCUUUAUUCCUUCACGCCUGUCAGCUGGUCUGGGAUAUUCUCGAUGGAUUUGAUUUUAUUGGGGUUUACCUUAAUUCCUCUUUGAGAGACCAAAAACCCCAGGAACUUAUCGGAACCCACUCCGAAGGCAUAUUUCUUCAGGUUGAGAUUCAUGUUGUACUUUUUCAGAAUGUCAAACGUCCCUUAGAGAUGUUCCAGUUGAUCUCCUGCAUAAAGAGACUUAACUAGCAUGUCGUCGAUAUAAGCUUCCAUCGUCUUACCUAUCUAUUUUUUAAAUAUCUUAUUAGCGAGCCUCUAAUAAGUGGCUCCCGUAUUUUUAAUCCCACAAGGCAUCACAUUAUAGCAAUAUGUGGUAAAGUUUGUGAUGAAAGAAUUCUUCUUUUAAUUUUCUGGGUCCAUCGUAAUUUGAUAAUACCCGAAAUAAGCAUCAAGAAAACUCAUCAACUCGUGCCUGGCUGCAGCAUUGAUCAUUUGAUCAAUGUUCGGCAAUAGGAAAAAGUCUUUGGGGCACACUUUAUUUAAAUUCUUAUCAUCUACACACAUCCUAAAUUUUCUAUUCUUUUUAGGCACUACUACGUUAGCUAUCCACUUCGAGUACUUUACCUCUCGAAUUGAACUGAUGUUAAGUAAUCGGGUUACCUCUUCCUUAACAAACCUGUUUUUGACCUUUGCUAUCAAUUGUUUCUUCUGCCUUACCGGGGGGAAGUUUGGAUCCAGACUAAGUUUGGAGACCUCCAAAUCCAAUGGAAAAUUUGUCAUAUCUGAAUGCAACCAUGAAAAGCAAUCAACGUUAGAUUUAAAAAAAUCUAUAAGUUUCAACCUGAGUUCGGGACUCAACCCCGUUCCUAAAUGAAAUUUUCUUUCCAGAAAUUCUUCAAACAAAGCCACUUGUUUGAGCUCUUCUGCGGUUAACUUGGUUGCAUCCAUCUUUUCUGGUACCUGAAAAGACCUUGGUGCCUGAUAUAAUUCUGAUGACUUCUCGUUUUUAUCAUCUACAAUUGGGAUGGGAGAAGGCAUUGGUUCCUGUAGUUGCUAUUUGCUGGUUUCUUUGCCCUUGCUGCUGGAAAUGGUUACUGUGUUCAUCUCCCUUACAGCAGAUUGAUCUCCUCUGAUCUGCUUGAUCCCUUCUAGUGUUGGAAACUUUAACAGUUAAUGGUAUGUGAAGGUACGACCUUCAUUUUGAUGUAUCCACGGUCUUCCAAAGAUUAUAUUAUAGACCAUGUCGCCAUUUACCACUUCAAACAGGGUGGUCUUUGCUACACCUUCAGCAUGUGUGGGCAGAAAAAUUUCUCCUCGGGUUGUUAUACUUGUUAUGUUGAAGCCAGCUAAAAGCUUUGUUGAUGGAAUGAUAUUCCCAGUUAACUUUGCUUCUCUCCAUUGUAUGAUAUUGGUUGAACUUCCUGGAUCAACCAAAAUACGCUUAAUACUAAAAUCUAAAAUAUUAAAAGAAAUUACCAAAGCAUCAUUUUGCGGUAGGAUAAGUCCAUCGGCAUCUUCCAUCGUGAAGGUGAUGUCAUCUUUUGAGACUUCUCGGAUCCUCUUGCCAUGAGUCACUGAUAUAUUCGUCUUAUUUGCUGGCAAAAAUGUCACCCCAUUUACUUUGUCUCCUCUGAAGAUCAUGUUGAUUGUCAUUCGAGGUGACCCUUCUGCUGGUUUUAAUGGUUAUGUAAUAUCCCUAUUUCUCUUAGAGUUGUUUUUGGUGCGAUCGCUUAACAAUUCCCCGAGGUGACCAUUCUUUAACAAUAUUUCCACCUCUUCAUGAAGAUGUCGGCAGUCCCCAGUCCUAUUAUCGUGAGUCCCAUAGAAUUCACACCAUAGAUUAGGAUCCCUUUGGCUAGGAUCCGAUCAGAUCGAUUUUGGGAACCUAAAUUCUUUAAUAUUUCUCAUGGGCGACACUAGUUCCACUAGGGUGAUACUAAAAUUGUAAUUAAACAACCGGGGAUACGCUGAAUCUUAGGAUCAUGGCACCUUUUUCUCCUACAACAAUCUGUUACUCCGGCCAUGAUCCAUCCUUCUAUCGCAAAUAAACCUAUUCGAUGACUGGAAUCCUUUAUUAUCGUGCCCUUCGGCCUUCUCAUAAGGCUGAAAAUGACUUCUAGAGUGUAUUCGAUCUAUAUCAAAAUCAUUUUUAAACUUAUCUUGAUUUCAAUCACGAUUCCGUCCUUUGGAAGACACCGUGGAACCAAGUCGACCAUCUUCACUUCUGAUCUUUGACUCAUAGAGAUAUUAAACAUCUGCCCAUAUGGUUGCCUGAAUUUCGAGCAAGCUCUCCUGCAAUUUUUGUGAGUUAUCGGAGCUUAAUAGGUUGAGACCCUUUGUAAAUGCCUCCGUUGCCCACUCAUCUUGAACCGCAGAUAACAACAUCAUUUCUUUCCGGAACCAGAUCACAAACUCUCUUAACAAUUUAGCUUUUCUUUAAGAUAUCAUGAAUAUAUCCACCUUCCUUGCUUGGACCUUUCUUGCUCCAGCAUUAUCUUUGAUAAACGAAUCUACAAGCAUUUCAAAAGGGUCAAUAGAAUGUUUUGAUAAGAGGGAAUACCAGGCUAAGUCACCAUUCGUAAGGGUUUCACCAAACUUCUUCAACAAAACCGAUUCGAUGUAAUGCUGGGCCAAGUUGUUUUCCUUUACUGUCGUAGUGUAGGUCAUAUCAUGAUGUGCUCCUGUGGAUCCGAAGUCACAUCAUAUUUUGGUAUAUCCAACAUCUUAAACCUCUUUGGGAUUAACUUCGAUGCAGCACAUAGUUUAAACAGCAACUACAUAUACUUCUUUAAAUCUGAUCCUUUUAACAUCGGCGGCACCCCCGUGAUAUGAUCCAUCAGAGCGAAAUUCCUUUGCAUUCUAAUCCAUUCAUUCAUUCAUUUCUCUCAUUAAUCUUAUGAGCUCGGUUUUGAAAGGGUUAUUUAAAUUGUUGUUCGCAAAUUCACUACCGGUACCUCUGGCCUCGUCGAAAUUGACCUCCUCUCUUGGUGUGUCGUUAUCAGUUCCUUGAGUCGUUUGCUUUACGAGAAUGCUGGGAGGAAUCGGGGCCCUUCCAUUAGCAUUAUUAGAAGCUCCCCAUACUACAUGUUUCAAUUUUGUCAUCACCCAAUCUUGCCUUGAGAGGCGAUCCAUAAUUGCCUUUUUCUAUUCCCUCAAGAUUUUGACUAUUUCAACAACGUGCUCAUCCUUUGCAUCAUCAAGAGUUGGGCCCCGCACAUGUCGAGGAUACAGACCUUCGCGAACUAGGUUGUUUCAUCCCCUUCGUUGUGGGGCUCACUGAUUGAAUCAUCACGCGUGAACACAUCUUCUUGUUGACCGUGUACUCCAACAUUUUAAACAAUAUUGACAUCAUUAGCUGUCAUACCUUAUCUUUCUUUUUCUAAGGAAGGAAUCAAAAUUUGUCAGUAAUAGAUAAAUAGAUCAAAGCAAUUACACAAUUGUCAAUGCCCCACAGUGGACGCCAAACUGUUUACCCAUAAAAUGAUAUAGUUAGAUUUGUAACGUAGUUUAUAGACAAAUAAAUCGAUUUGGUCCUAAAGUACGAAAACAAUAAUAACCGAAACAAGAAUACGAAAUAAAACUAAUGGAAACACAAGCCCGAGUAUGAAUUUAGCCUUUCCAAUGGCAAAAAGAGAACAUUAUUCAAGAACAAAGACUGAGAACAAUAUUAUAAAAUGGGAGCAGAAUAUAGCUUUUUUGUGUACAAAAUAUUUCCACCCCUACAAUGGAUGCUAAUCCUCCUACUUACAGCUCUGUUCUGGGAGACAAGAUCCUCAAAUCAAGUUCCUCUUGAAUGAGAAUAAAACCGUCAUUGAUGGCUGCAUAAUUGUUGGCUAUAAAUGCAUAUAUUCUUUGUAACAGUUGCUCGUUGAAUGUUAUCUAAUGAAAAUGCUUUGAAUCUUCAUUAUUAAUUGGCUACUCCGUCUUCGAGAUUCAUUCAGUAUCGAUUGCAUGAUUACAUCUGGUGCCAGCUGUUUGCUGACUCACGUCCCAUCUAUCUUUUGUUCCAUGCGUCACUUCGUCAUUCGCCCAACUAUCAUUAACCGAUUUUGCCCCAUACAGGUGUAGCUUUGAUUAUCGACACACAAGUUGAGGCUGACUCCAGUAUAUUGAGGCCAAAGGCACAGACAUAUAUAGGACUAGGACUAAACCGUGUAUUUCCGAGAAAAACUUAUAUACAUACGAUACCUAAUUCAAAACAUAGGAAAAUGGUAAUUUGUUUAGUCUUUUUCCCGUUCUUUUCCCUUUUUGAAUGAUUUUAGAAGUUUAAUUGUAUUCUAAAGACUAAACAUCAAUCCUCCCACGAUACUUGAGUUUUGAAGGUUACGUGGGUGGCAUACAUAAGUUCGUUGCUCAUUCUUCAAUUGUCAUUAUCUUUUUUUGUUGUUUCUAUCGUCACUUCCUUUUCUUUGUUGCAUUAUAGUGUUUGAUCUAAUUCUUAAUGUUAGCUAGAAAAAAUGGACAGCAAUGAGGUGUUAUAUAUAUNNNNNNNNNNNNNNNNNNNNNNNNUAUAUUAGUUAGUUAAAGCGGUUAAUGAAAAAAAAAGUUUGAUAUCACUAAACAACUCAAUAAAUGAAUAUGCAUGCGAGUCAUCUAUCAUAUCCGUAUAACAAUUAAGCAUUGGUUGAUUUUCGCCACUUGGAAUUAAAAAUUUACGUAACAAACUUCCUUCAUGCAAAGAGGUGUGAACAUUGGAUUAGAACUCGUACACACUGGACAAACAAAUUAGUCCCCACAUCAACUAACUCAAGUUCCAAACUCAUAGGCUAGCUAGUUAUAACCAACACUUAUAAAUACCACUCAAUAUUAACAAGAGAAAACAUCCCAACAGCACCCAAGUAUCUUGUACUACUACUUUUUCAAAACUCAUCUGCCAUCACUUUUAUUACCAAAAUGGCUGAAGAGAAGAAGCACCACUUCGGUCUCUUCCACCACAAGGACAAGGAGGAAGACAAAACUACCUAUGGAGAAACUCCAUAUGGUGGUGAUACUGAAAAAACUACCUAUGGAGAGAAUACAUAUGAAGAGAAAACUAGUUAUGGUGGGGGAGAUAACUAUGGGGAUAACAAAUAUGGUGAGAAAACUGGCUAUGGAGAAAGUGGAUAUGGAGAGAAAACUAGUUAUGGUGAGGGAGGUAACUAUGGAGAUAGUGGCUAUGAAAAUAAGACUAGCUAUGGAGAUAGUGGCUAUGAAAAUAAGACUAGUUAUGGAGAUAGCGGCUAUGAAAACAAGACUGGCUAUGGAGAUAUUCCAUCUGAUACUACCUAUGGAGAGAAAACUAAUUAUGGUGAAGGAGAUACCUAUGGAAAAGGAGCUGCCUACUCAUCUGAGACCACUAAUUUUGAAGAGACUACUGAUGAAGGCAAAACUGGUGAGGAUUAUGAGAAAGAGAAAAAGCACCACAAGCAUCUUGAACACGUGGGAGGGCUUGGGGCUGCUGCUGCUGGUGCCUUUGCCUUGGUAAUUUUUCACACAAUGUUUUAUGUUACAGUUUUAACUUUUAUAUCCUUGUGGUCCAGUCCUUCCCCGGACCCCGCGCAUAACGGAAACUCAGUGCAUCGGACUGCCUUUAUUGUCGUAUCAGUAAAGUUACAAAA